This 2275-nucleotide ribosomal RNA is filed under the name wastewater metagenome. RNAcentral's name for it is "bacterial LSU rRNA". It matches the Rfam family "Bacterial large subunit ribosomal RNA", at positions 3 to 2313 of the family's 2925-position model. The record is from RNAcentral.
UCAAGUAAUUAAGUGCAUGUGGUGGAUGCCUUGGCAGUCAGAGGCGAUGAAAGACGUAAUAGCCUGCGAAAAGCUCCGGGGAGGCGGCAAAUAUCCUGUGAUCCGGAGAUUUCUGAAUGGGGAAACCCACCUGUCAUAAGGCAGGUAUCGUAUGAUGAAUACAUAGUCAUACGAGGCGAACGAGGGGAAGUGAAACAUCUCAGUACCCUUAGGAAAAGAAAUCAAUUGAGAUUCCCUCAGUAGCGGCGAGCGAACGGGGAAAAGCCCAUUAAGUCAUAUAAGUUCUAGUGGAAUGCUCUGGGAAGUGCAACCAUAGUGGGUGAUAGUCCUGUACACGAAAGGGCUUAUAUGAUGAUGUCGAGUAGGGCGGGGCACGUGAAACCUUGUCUGAAUAUGGGGGGACCAUCCUCCAAGGCUAAAUACUCCUGACUGACCGAUAGUGAACCAGUACCGUGAGGGAAAGGCGAAAAGAACCCCUGUGAGGGGAGUGAAAUAGAUCCUGAAACCGCAUGCAUACAAGCAGUGGGAGCCGACUUGUUCGGUGACUGCGUACCUUUUGUAUAAUGGGUCAGCGACUUACAUUCAGUAGCAAGGUUAACCGCAUAGGGGAGCCGUAGAGAAACCGAGUCUUAAUAGGGCGUUUAGUUGCUGGGUGUAGACCCGAAACCAGGUGAUCUAUCCAUGAGCAGGUUGAAGGUUGGGUAACACUAACUGGAGGACCGAACCCACUGUCGUUGAAAAGCCAGGGGAUGACUUGUGGAUAGGGGUGAAAGGCUAAUCAAACUCGGUGAUAGCUGGUUCUCCCCGAAAGCUAUUUAGGUAGCGCCUCGGACGAAUACCAUUGGGGGUAGAGCACUGUUUCGGCUAGGGGGUCAUCCCGACUUACCAAACCGAUGCAAACUCCGAAUACCAAUGAGUACUAUCCGGGAGACAGACUGCGGGUGCUAACGUCCGUAGUCAAGAGGAAAACAAUCCAGACCGCCAGCUAAGGCCCCAAAAUUAUAGUUAAGUGGGAAACGAUGUGGGAAGGCAUAGACAGCUAGGAGGUUGGCUUAGAAGCAGCCACCCUUUAAAGAAAGCGUAAUAGCUCACUAGUCGAGUCGGCCUGCGCGGAAGAUGUAACGGGGCUAAAACUAUAUGCCGAAGCUGCGGAUUUGCAAUUUAUUGCAAGUGGUAGGGGAGCGUUCUGUAAGCCGAUGAAGGUGUAUUGAGAAGUAUGCUGGAGGUAUCAGAAGUGCGAAUGCUGACGUGAGUAACGACAAUGCGAGUGAAAAACUCGCACGCUGAAAGACCAAGGGUUCCAGUCCAACGUUAAUCGGGGCUGGGUGAGUCGACCCCUAAGGCGAGGCCGAGAGGCGUAGUCGAUGGGAAAUUGGUUAAUAUUCCAAUACUUCUGUGUAAUGCGAUGAGAGGACGGAGAAGGUUAAGUCAGCCUGGCGUUGGUUGUCCAGGUGGAAGGUUGUAGGCAUGUAUCUUAGGCAAAUCCGGGGUACUCUAUGCUGAGAACUGAUAGCAAGCUGUACUUGUACAGUGAAGUGGCUGAUACCAUGCUUCCAGGAAAAGUCUCUAAGCUUCAGUUACACAGGAAUCGUACCCGAAACCGACACAGGUGGUCAGGUCGAGUAGACCAAAGCGCUUGAGAGAACUCUGCUGAAGGAACUAGGCAAAAUGGUACCGUAACUUCGGGAGAAGGUACGCUGCCGACGGUGAUAGGAUUUACUCCUUGAGCUAUUGGCAGCCACAGAAACCAGGCCCCUGCAACUGUUUAUUAAAAACAUAGCACUCUGCAAACACGAAAGUGGACGUAUAGGGUGUGAUGCCUGCCCGGUGCUGGAAGGUUAAUUGAUGGGGUUAGCGUAAGCGAAGCUCUUGAUCGAAGCCCCAGUAAACGGCGGCCGUAACUAUAACGGUCCUAAGGUAGCGAAAUUCCUUGUCGGGUAAGUUCCGACCUGCACGAAUGGCAUAAUGAUGGGGGCGCUGUCUCCAGCAGAGACUCAGUGAAAUCGAAUUCGCCGUGAAGAUGCGGUGUACCCGCGGCUAGACGGAAAGACCCCGUGAACCUUUACUGCAGCUUGACAUUGAACUUUGAUCUUACUUGUGUAGGAUAGGUGGGAGGCUUUGAAACCGAGACGCUAGUUUCGGUGGAGCCAAUCUUGAAAUACCACCCUGGUAAUAUUGAGGUUCUAACUCUGUCCCGUUAUCCGGGACGAGGACCAUGUCUGGUGGGUAGUUUGACUGGGGCGGUCUCCUCCUAAAGAGUAACGGAGGAGUACGA